UACGGGGGGAGCAAGCGUUGUUCGGAUUUACUGGGCGUAAAGGGCGCGUAGGCGGUCAGCACAAGUCAGUUGUGAAAUCUCCGGGCUUAACUCGGAAAGGUCAACUGAUACUGUGCGACUAGAGUGCGGAAGGGGCAACUGGAAUUCUCGGUGUAGCGGUGGAAUGCGCAGAUAUCAGGAGGAACACCGGUGGCGAAGGCGGGUCUCUGGGUAGUAACUAACGCUGAGGAGCGAAAGCGUGGGGAGCGAACAGG
Molecule: ribosomal RNA, 254 nt
Filed under: uncultured bacterium
Lineage: Bacteria
Description: partial 16S ribosomal RNA
Rfam family: Bacterial small subunit ribosomal RNA
Source: RNAcentral